AUUGAACGCUGGCGGCAUGCUUUACACAUGCAAGUCGAACGGUAACAGGCCGCAAGGUUCUGACGAGUGGCGAACGGGUGAGUAAUGCAUCGGAACGUGCCCAGUCGUGGGGGAUAACUACUCGAAAGGGUAGCUAAUACCGCCUACGAUCUAUGGAUGAAAGCGGGGGACCGUAAGGCCUCGCGCGAUUGGACCGGCCGAUGUCAGAUUAGGUAGUUGGUGGGGUAAAGGCUCACCAAGCCAACGAUCUGUAGCUGGUCUGAGAGGACGACCAGCCACACUGGGACUGAGACACGGCCCAGACUCCUACGGGAGGCAGCAGUGGGGAAUUUUGGACAAUGGGCGCAAGCCUGAUCCAGCAAUGCCGCGUGCAGGAAGAAGGCCUUCGGGUUGUAAACUGCUUUUGUAGGGAAAGAAACGGCUCUGGUUAAUACCCGGCGGUAAUGACGGUACCGAAAGAAUAAGCACCGGCUAACUACGUG
Molecule: ribosomal RNA, 482 nt
Filed under: uncultured bacterium
Lineage: Bacteria
Description: partial 16S ribosomal RNA
Rfam family: Bacterial small subunit ribosomal RNA
Source: RNAcentral